Molecule: ribosomal RNA, 244 nt
Filed under: uncultured Actinomycetales bacterium
Lineage: Bacteria; Bacillati; Actinomycetota; Actinomycetes; Actinomycetales
Description: partial 16S ribosomal RNA
Rfam family: Bacterial small subunit ribosomal RNA
Source: RNAcentral
UACUCGAGUGGCGAACGGGUGAGUAACACGUGGGUGAUCUGCCCUGCACUCUGGGAUAAGCCUGGGAAACUGGGUCUAAUACCGGAUAGGACCAUGCUUUAGUGUGUGUGGUGGAAAGUUUUUUCGGUGUAGGAUGAGCCCGCGGCCUAUCAGCUUGUUGGUGGGGUAAUGGCCUACCAAGGCGGCGACGGGUAGCCGGACUGAGAGGUUGGUCGGCCACAUUUGGGACUGAGAUACGGCCCAG